Molecule: ribosomal RNA, 253 nt
Filed under: uncultured bacterium
Lineage: Bacteria
Description: partial 16S ribosomal RNA
Rfam family: Bacterial small subunit ribosomal RNA
Source: RNAcentral
UACGGGGGGGGCAAGCGUUGUUCGGAAUUAUUGGGCGUAAAGAGCUCGUAGGCGGUUUGUUGCGUCGGCUGUGAAAUCCCGAGGCUCAACCUCGGGUCUGCAGUCGAUACGAGCAAACUAGAGUGUUGCAGGGGAGACUGGAAUUCCUGGUGUAGCGGUGAAAUGCGCAGAUAUCAGGAGGAACACCGGUGGCGAAGGCGGGUCUCUGGGCCGAUACUGACGCUGAGGAGCGAAAGCGUGGGGAGCGAACAGG